AGCGACACAGGUUCCUGAAGAGAAAUCAGUCAAGCAAGUAGAGGACUCUGAGCCAAAGAUAGCUGUAAUCAUGGCUGGAGAUAAGAAUCCCACAUUCUUGGCUAAGCCUAAGCCUAAGCCUGUCUCUUGCAUUUGCCACAAUGAAGAACAAGUUUAAGCUGAUCUCUAGAAUCUCAGGACACCCUUCUCUUUCUUUCUUUCUUUCUUUCUUUCUUUUCAUAAUCAUCACUUUACGUUCUUGACUACGGAAAUAUGUAAAGUGAUGAUUAUGAAGAGGAUGAAAUUUUUGUUGGGGG
This 296-nucleotide unclassified non-coding RNA is filed under the name Hevea brasiliensis (rubber tree). Lineage: Eukaryota; Viridiplantae; Streptophyta; Magnoliopsida; Malpighiales; Euphorbiaceae. The record is from RNAcentral.